CUACGGGUUGCACCAGUGGGGAAUCUUGCACAAUGGGCGAAAGCCUGAUGCAGCCAUGCCGCGUGAGUGAAGAAGGCCCUAGGGUUGUAAAGCUCUUUCAGCAGGGAAGAUAAUGACUGUACCUGCAGAAGAAGCCCCGGCUAACUCCGUGCCAGCAGCCGCGGUAAUACGGAGGGGGCUAGCGUUGUUCGGAAUUACUGGGCGUAAAGCGCGCGUAGGCGGAUUAGUUAGUUGGGGGUGAAAGCCCGGAGCUCAACUCCGGAAUUGCCUUCAAUACUGCUAGUCUUGAGUCCGAGAGAGGGUGGUGGAAUUCCCAGUGUAGAGGUGAAAUUCGUAGAUAUUGGGAAGAACACCAGUGGCGAAGGCGGCCACCUGGCUCGGUACUGACGCUGAGGUGCGAAAGCGUGGGGAGCAAACAGGAUUAGAUACCCCAGUAGUC
RNAcentral lists this ribosomal RNA (439 nucleotides) under uncultured bacterium. RNAcentral's name for it is "partial 16S ribosomal RNA". It matches the Rfam family "Bacterial small subunit ribosomal RNA", at positions 339 to 795 of the family's 1533-position model. The record is from RNAcentral.